AUACGGAGGGUGCAAGCGUUACUCGGAAUCACUGGGCGUAAAGCGCGCGCAGGCGGCUAUUUAAGUUGGAUGUGAAAGCCUAUGGCUCAACCAUAGAACUGCAUCCAAAACUAUUUAGCUAGAGUGUGGGAGAGGAAGAUGGAAUUAGUUGUGUAGGGGUAAAAUCCGUAGAGAUAACUAGGAAUACCAAAAGCGAAGGCAAUCUUCUGGAACACUGCUGACGCUGAGGCGCGAAAGCGUGGGGAGCAAACAGGAUUAGAAACCCUAGUAGUCC
This 274-nucleotide ribosomal RNA is filed under the name uncultured bacterium. RNAcentral's name for it is "partial 16S ribosomal RNA". It matches the Rfam family "Bacterial small subunit ribosomal RNA", at positions 523 to 796 of the family's 1533-position model. The record is from RNAcentral.